Molecule: ribosomal RNA, 253 nt
Filed under: uncultured bacterium
Lineage: Bacteria
Description: partial 16S ribosomal RNA
Rfam family: Bacterial small subunit ribosomal RNA
Source: RNAcentral
UACGAAGGGGGCUAGCGUUGUUCGGAUUUACUGGGCGUAAAGGGCGCGUAGGCGGUUCUACAAGUCAGAAGUGAAAGCCCUGGGCUUAACCCGGGAAUUGCUUUUGAAACUGUAAGACUAGAGUAGGGGAGAGGUGAGUGGAAUUCCCAGUGUAGAGGUGAAAUUCGUAGAUAUUGGGAAGAACACCAGUGGCGAAGGCGGCUCACUGGACCCUAACUGACGCUGAGGCGCGAAAGCGUGGGGAGCAAACAGG